This is an RNA transcript of Pungitius pungitius (ninespine stickleback), 2444 nucleotides long. It is a transcript of the gene named zinc finger protein 234-like, with no coding region annotated. NCBI's taxonomy places the organism in Eukaryota, Metazoa, Chordata, Actinopteri, Perciformes, Gasterosteidae. The record is from RefSeq and is a predicted model, not a curated record. The transcript is spliced from 7 exons.
UGGUUCGCGGCCCGUUCGCGUGUGGUUCCGGGUGGAGGUGAGGACUUUUCAAAACGGUGGGAAGAUGAGCCAACUCGAAGAGCUCAAAGUGUUCGUCUCCGAGCGGCUUCACGCUGCCGCCUCUGAAAUAUUCGGUGCUGUUGAAAAAACGAUAACCGACUACGAGGAGAAGUGCGCCCGUCUGAAGGAGGAGAACGACCGUAACCGGUCCCUGUUGGACAUUAUUCUCAAAACAAAAUCGCAAAAGAAGGAAGGUGGGUUUUAUGGCGGAGCGACUCGCAAGUGUUGACGUUAAUUGGUGCCGAUUAACGUCACGUGUCUUUCUGUGGAAGUAGAACGCUGCAAAUAACGGUCAGCUGACGUAAAUUCUUUAUCUUUAUAACGUUAGCUAAGGGUAGCUAAAUUAACUCGCUAGCUAGCUAGCUUAAUCGAUUCCUAGUGCCGAUUAUUGGGCCUCAUUGAAUAUACUAAUUCAAUAGGAAAGUUAUAACGUUAUUGUUCAAACCGGUAUUCCUCCUUCGGGCCAAAACCAUCACCGCUGUUCAGGUUAUCUUCCACGAUGCGGGUAGUGGUUGCUUAUUAAAUGUCGCAUGCCGGCCGUGUCAACACCAUGGAGUAAUGAAAAUGCCAUGUUUAAAACGUAAGAACAAUAAAGGUAUUACUAUUAAGCAUAUUUUAGGUUUCCACCUGGCUACAAAUUGGCCUAAACUAACGUUGGGUUUCCAUGUUAUGACAAUAUUCUGUGUGUAUGUUAUUUUUAUGAGGUCAGUGUUUUGCACUUUUUAGAAGUCCCACCUAAAGUAACGCACACCUCAACAAUCCGGUCAUCGUAACACUGCCUACAGUAGCUCAACCUAUCAAAAGCAGCCCGGCUCCUCCUGCUGCUACAACUACUGCUACAACGGCUGCUGCUGCUGCUGCUGCUGGUUUUCCAGGUGCAUCACAUUUAAGUCCUCCCCGCAAGGCCAGAGACCCACCCCGCAACUCCAGUGAAUUUCAGUGCUCCUUUACCUCACGCACAGACUUACUAAAGUUUGCCACCGGUGGCGACUGUCGCUUCUGCUUGAAGAAAAUUCCAGCCACUGAGAGACAUUUGACAAAGAAACAUUAUCUAUUAGCUGUGAAAUUCACUGCAGGUGGCACUGACAGAUUUGUUGUACCAUGCACAUGCACAGACUUGAUCCAGGGAAGAAGUCACUGGCACUGCCCGUAUUGCUCGAAGAUCAUUUAUCGGAAAUGUAACUUUGAGGUGCACAUAUCUAAACAACAUGGUCAUGCAAUACUGCCCCAAAACCGGGACAAAGACAUUGAUCAGCCCUCUGUCUCUGCCAUUGAAGAGGAGGUUCCCCUGAGUCCAGAACCCUGGUGUAAGCAGGAACUUUGCAGUCUGGACCACGAGGACCAGCGGGCUUCACUGUUGCGUGAUGUUAAAGAAGAAAAGGAAAUCUGCACACAAGUGAGUCAUCCUGGGUGGCAGAACUCAGGUGAUCUGCAGAUUGAAGGUAAGCAAGUACAAAGCACUCAAAGUUCAGAGGAACAUCACGCUCAAGGCUCUGAAUUCAGCAUUGCCUUUGCGGACGGUUACGUUCAAGACCUCAGCGAAGUGAACAGUGUGGAAAAAAGCAAGGGACAUCAGCUUCCUAAUUCUUCAAAUGAACCACUGGAACCACUACCUAAUAGUGAGGUUGUGGGAAUGGGCAAGCCAACUGGGGAAUCUCAGCAAAGCACACCUUGUUUAAAGGCACAUAGCAUCAAGAGGAAACUGCGUGUGAAGACAAACAAAUCUUUGGCCACCUUGGGUUUGAGUACAAAGACUCAGUGUGUCAGUCAGAAUCCCACCGGUCCCUAUUGUUGCAAAGCAUGUGGAAAAGCUUUUUAUUACAUGUACACACUGAAGACACAUGUGCGAACACAUGCCGGGGAUAAAAUCCGUGUUUGUGGAAUCUGUGGAAGACAUCUGGACUCUAUGGAGAGUUUAGCCCAGCACAUUCAAAACCACACAAAGAGGAACAAAUGUGGUAUCUGUGGCAAACAAUUUUCUAAUAAUUCCCGUCUGAAGUGCCAUCUGCGGUUUCACAGACCAAGGGGUCUAAAUAUCAUGUCGUUGACUUAAAUACCAUGUGACUAGGGCAGGAGAUUCCGUCCAGGAAUAUAGCUAUGGGAUAGUUCAAUCCUUGAGAUGCCGUCUAGGAAUGUACCUAUGGGAGCUAGUUCAAUCCUUGUUUUGUUGUUCAUGGUAUGUACCUAAUGGGAUAGUUCAAUACUUGUUUUGUUGUUCAUCAUAUGUACCUAUGGGAUAGUUCAAUCCUUGUUUUGUUGUUCAUUGAUUCCUACAAAAUUUUGUAUCGCUAUACCAUUUUGUAGUCUUUAAUAAAAAUAAAAAAACAUAUUUGAAGUUGGUCAUCAGUUUCAAAGUGAGAGACUGUCACUAUUAUACAUUUUGG